RNAcentral lists this long non-coding RNA (223 nucleotides) under Elaeis guineensis (African oil palm). Its description in RNAcentral is "long non-coding RNA (EGUI_LNC049448)". The record is from RNAcentral. Lineage: Eukaryota; Viridiplantae; Streptophyta; Magnoliopsida; Arecales; Arecaceae.
CAGACGGACUCGUCUGCAGCAGCUCGGUGGCUGCUCGCCCUGCGAGCCACCGAUUUCCUCCUCCUCCCCACGGCGGGCGCCUCCGUGGGGCGGGCCCCCGAAACGGGGGCCCCAGUCGGCGGGCUCCUUGAGGAAGCUCGGGGGGCCGCUGGCUCGACAUCCGAAGGAAUGUCGAUGGCCGGGGUCGCCUGGACGGGCGCAGCCAAGCUCAUCUCCUCCACCC